ACCUUCUACCUGCCACCUGCCACCUAUAUCCGUUCAUCGUAUCACCGCCAUCUUUACUAGCCUGGUUUCGCGCGUCCCCUGGGAAGUCGUGGCCGUAAACCGUGCAAAGUAAAGGCCGCUCUGUACGUCCGCCAGCCAUACGACCUCGGUAGCCACGCCGCCGACGACGGAUCCCAUAUCCAGCUCGUCGACGCGCCCUCCCCCGGCGUCGAGGAUCGUGAUCUCCAC
Molecule: unclassified non-coding RNA, 228 nt
Filed under: uncultured bacterium
Lineage: Bacteria
Description: contains 16S-23S intergenic spacer region
Source: RNAcentral